CCUACGGGUGACAGCAGUGGGGAAUAUUGCGCAAUGGGCGAAAGCCUGACGCAGCGACGCCGCGUGAGGGAUGAAGGUCUUCGGAUCGUAAACCUCUGUCAGCAGGGAAGAACGGUCACUGUGCUAAUCAGCAGUGCAUUGACGGUACCUGCAAAGGCAGCACCGGCUAACUCCGUGCCAGCAGCCGCGGUAAUACGGAGGGUGCGAGCGUUAAUCGGAAUUACUGGGCGUAAAGCGCUCGUAGGCGGUAUGUCAAGUCAAGGGUGAAAUCCCCGCGCUCAACGUGGGAACUGCCGUUGAAACUGGCAAACUGGAGUGUGUGAGAGGAUAGUGGAAUUCGAGGUGUAGGAGUGAAAUCCGUAGAUAUCUGGAGGAACAUCAGUGGCGAAGGCGACUAUCUGGCACAUAACUGACGCUGAGGAGCGAAAGCGUGGGUAGCAAACAGGAUUAGAUACCCCAGUAGUC
This 465-nucleotide ribosomal RNA is filed under the name uncultured bacterium. Its description in RNAcentral is "partial 16S ribosomal RNA". It matches the Rfam family "Bacterial small subunit ribosomal RNA", at positions 338 to 795 of the family's 1533-position model. The record is from RNAcentral.